AUAUGUAUAGAUCGUGUUUGGGGUGAGUUAAUUGACCCAUAAACAAAGAGCUUCAGUUUAUUAGAGUUAAUUCACUGUUCAUCUUCAACUCAACUUCGACUCUUUAAUAUAUCAAAAUUGCUCCCUGUUACAAUCCACUCCAUCACCUUUUCCUGAACCUUUCAAUCCAGAUCUGGCCUUUGGAGAGAAACUACCAGAGUCGGUAUAACGAAAAGCCACCAGCCGAGUCAGUGAAUCCCACUGAAGAGGAAGUGCAUCUUCUGCUUGUCAUUACAGCUCGGUGACGUUGCUGGUUUUAAUGACCUCCCCGAGCAGUCACCACAGCUAGGGGGUUAUACAAGCGCACGACUCUCCAGGAAAAGCCUUCCAUUAAUGGGAAGAGGAACAGAGGUACCCAGGCCGCUUCAGUUCAGCGGACAGAUGGGAGGCCAUUGUAAAUAUUUUGAUUGAUGGAGGGUGGGGUCAAGGCGUAAACCUUUGUUUUCCAUAUAAAUGGGGAAGGCGGGAAUCCAAUGCAGGAUGUUGGCUUGUUUUUGAUAGGCCUCCCAUUCCUUUGCAUGGCAGAAUGCAGGGACCCUGAAGGUUAGGGGAGGUUUCCAUGGAUCUAAAUGCGCUUAAGAAUGUUGCGAACAUAUUUGGUGUAUCUGACCUUGUUUUAUUGGAAAGUUCCUGCUGGUCUGAGAGGCAUAUCCUAUAGCGGAGAUGUCUUUGAGAAAGAUAUGGUCAUAUAUGAGUUUGCAAAGUAACAGUAUGAGUAAUGAUUCUUUUGUUUUUCCUAUGACAGAUUGAGCUGACCCAAGGGAUUGCCUUUUUUUUUUUUGACAAAUUAGACCUGACCAAUGUGUUUUUUAUCUUGAGAGUGUGACUUUUUUUUCUCUCCCAAGAGGCCACAACAAGCAGAAGAGUCCAAAGCAACAGAAAGUUGUUUGCCAAGAAGACUCAAGGAGCUUGAGAAGAGACAUGAAAAAACACAAAUUAGAUCAAGAAGAUGUGACACCGCCCAUCCCAUUCUGGAUGAAAAGGGUCCUGCGAGAGAGGAGAGUACAGCCAACCACAUGGCAGGGCAGGCGCGGUGUCCUGGGCUGGGGCCGUAUGGAAGGUCAGGGGGGUUGGCAAAUAGUGGCAGCCAGGAUUCUGAAGGAAACAGUGGGAGAAUGGGGCGGCUUGAGCCCGCUGGUCACCAGCCAACAUGCCCAACCUCGAGAGUUCGCUUUCCUCGACUCCGUCUCAAAGCACUCCAUGCCAAACGGUAUGCAGAACGGCUCAAUGUAGUUAUCUGGUUAGCGUAGUAAUGUUGAUGUUGCUGACAUCCCCCAUUCUGAGCUUAGUUAUGAAAAGUACAAUUGGCAUCAACAGGGCUUAUUUGUGACCGCAUAAUACAGUCUUAAUCUGAAAAAUGAAGUGUUCAAGAGAAGGUUUUCGCAGUGAUGUCAUAAAUGAAUCAUUCUGGGUUCCCUAAAGAACCAUUCACUGAACACUUCUUGUCAUCGUAUUUUUAAUAAACUAAAGAACCUUUUCCACUAUAAAGAACUUUUUUUUCUGAAAUGGAAAUGGACUACAGAUCUAAAAGCUCUUUAUGGAACCAUCAAUGCCAGUAAAGAACCUCUAUUUUUAAGAGUGCUUGCUGCUUAUUUUAUGAUUGUGUUCCAGAUAAUCAAUGCACACAAAUAUAUUUGUUUUAGUUUAAGUAUUGAAUACGA
Long non-coding RNA from Carassius auratus (goldfish), 1700 nucleotides. RefSeq lists it as uncharacterized. The record is from RefSeq and is a predicted model, not a curated record. The transcript has 3 exons. Lineage: Eukaryota; Metazoa; Chordata; Actinopteri; Cypriniformes; Cyprinidae.